CAGUGGGGAAUAUUGCGCAAUGGGGGCAACCCUGACGCAGCAAUACCGCGUGAGUGAAGAAGGUUUUCGGAUCGUAAAGCUCUGUUAUUGGGGAAGAAAAAAGACGGUACCCAAGAAGAAAGUCCCGGCUAACUACGUGCCAGCAGCCGCGGUAAUACGUAGGGGACAAGCGUUGUCCGGAUUUACUGGGCGUAAAGGGCACGCAGGCGGUUUUUUAAGUCAGAUGUGAAAGGUACCGGCUCAACCGGUGACAUGCAUUUGAAACUGAAAGACUUGAGUAUUGGAGAGGCAAGUGGAAUUCCUAGUGUAGCGGUGAAAUGCGUAGAUAUUAGGAGGAACACCGGUGGCGAAGGCGGCUUGCUGGACAAAUACUGACGCUGAGGUGCGAAAGCGUGGGGAGCAAACAGGAUU
RNAcentral lists this ribosomal RNA (411 nucleotides) under uncultured bacterium. Its description in RNAcentral is "bacterial SSU rRNA". It matches the Rfam family "Bacterial small subunit ribosomal RNA", at positions 352 to 779 of the family's 1533-position model. The record is from RNAcentral.